UAUAAAGGGUGACUGCCAGGCUUUCGGUACGAAUGAGGAUUUUCCUGUCGUCAACACAUAUUCCUGUGGGAUAUGGAACCGUUACGGAAUAGGCAAACGACCUAUUCCCUAAUGCAGUUCCCU
RNAcentral lists this small RNA (123 nucleotides) under unclassified sequences. Its description in RNAcentral is "DUF3268 RNA". It matches the Rfam family "DUF3268 RNA". The record is from Rfam by way of RNAcentral.